CAAUAGCGUAUAUUUAAGUUGUUGCAGUUAAAAAGCUCGUAGUUGGAUUUCGGUUGAGAGCGGCCGGUCCGCCGUUUGGUGUGCACUGGCUGGUUUCAACUUCCUGUAGAGGACGCGCUUUGGGCUUAACGGUCUGAACGUGGAGUCUACGUGGUUACUUUGAAAAAAUUAGAGUGUUCAAAGCGGGCUUACGCUUGAAUAUUUCAGCAUGGAAUAACACUAUAGGACUCCUGUCCUAUUUCGUUGGUCUCGGGACGGGAGUAAUGAUUAAGAGGAACAGUUGGGGGCAUUCGUAUUUCGGCGCUAGAGGUGAAAUUCUUAGAUUGCCGAAAGACAAACUGCUGCGAAAGCGUCUGCCAAGGAUGUUUUCAUUGA
This 375-nucleotide ribosomal RNA is filed under the name uncultured eukaryote. Its description in RNAcentral is "partial 18S ribosomal RNA". It matches the Rfam family "Eukaryotic small subunit ribosomal RNA", at positions 592 to 976 of the family's 1831-position model. The record is from RNAcentral.